RNAcentral lists this ribosomal RNA (268 nucleotides) under uncultured Enterobacteriaceae bacterium. RNAcentral describes it as "partial 16S ribosomal RNA". It matches the Rfam family "Bacterial small subunit ribosomal RNA", at positions 70 to 339 of the family's 1533-position model. Lineage: Bacteria; Pseudomonadati; Pseudomonadota; Gammaproteobacteria; Enterobacterales; Enterobacteriaceae. The record is from RNAcentral.
CACAGAGAGCUUGCUCUCGGGUGACGAGUGGCGGACGGGUGAGUAAUGUCUGGGAAACUGCCCGAUGGAGGGGGAUAACUACUGGAAACGGUAGCUAAUACCGCAUAACGUCUUCGGACCAAAGUGGGGGACCUUCGGGUCUCACACCAUCGGAUGUGCCCAGAUGGGAUUAGCUAGUAGGUGGGGUAAUGGCUCACCUAGGCGACGAUCCCUAGCUGGUCUGAGAGGAUGACCAGCCACACUGGAACUGAGACACGGUCCAGACUCC